GGAUGUGAGAGCAAUCUGGCUGAGCCAUCUGUCACCUCACUGAUAGUCAGGGUUGGUUCGGCUGAUCUGGCUGCCCAGGCAGGUGUCCACUUCGUCCCUCACCACUCGAAGUCCAUUCCUCCUGACGCUGUGCUCUUGGUCGAAGAGGAUCACCAUCCUUACUAGAGGAGGUCUGCUCAAGGGUAUAUUAGUAGCUAUGUUGCCCUGCUAGAACUUCCAAACAAGCUUUCAAGGUCCACUUGUAGGAGAAUGUACGGCAGUCAAGCUCCCAAGCUUCCAAGACCCCAGACCCAUCCUAAUGAGGCACUGCAAGUGGCAGCCUGCCUUUCUUA
Molecule: unclassified non-coding RNA, 332 nt
Organism: Ochotona princeps (American pika)
Lineage: Eukaryota; Metazoa; Chordata; Mammalia; Lagomorpha; Ochotonidae
Gene: 7SK
Rfam family: 7SK RNA
About the family: 7SK was discovered as an abundant small nuclear RNA in the mid-70s but a possible function has only recently been suggested. Two independent studies have found that 7SK RNA binds the CDK9/cyclin T complex (known as elongation factor P-TEFb).
Source: Ensembl